AUUGAAAUGUACAGCAAAGCUUUGAUCACAAUGGUUUACCUACAGAAUCAAGUUAUCACCUCCUGGUUGCCAGCCUUUUGCAUGAGAUUUUUCUAAGCCUCACAAAGAUGGGCUAGAUGGAAAAUCAGGGCAUGUAUUCCUGACAGUCAUCUCAUCACAUGGUCUGGAAGCUGUAUGCACAUAGCAAAAAAAGUAAAGAUUAGGGACAGGAGCCCACACUCCUGGAUCCAAGAGACAGCCUCUGCUCACACAAGAACUCUCCCUGUGGCAUUGCUUCUCUCUAUGAGCAACAGGAUCUUCCAAAUCAGGACUGACCUGGCAGGAAGUGUGAAUCAGUUGUGCUCCAAGGACAUACCUUAUUGCCUUAUGCUUCUA
Long non-coding RNA from Serinus canaria (Common canary), 375 nucleotides. RefSeq lists it as uncharacterized. NCBI's taxonomy places the organism in Eukaryota, Metazoa, Chordata, Aves, Passeriformes, Fringillidae. The transcript has 3 exons. The record is from RefSeq and is a predicted model, not a curated record.